AAGACUAUAGACCUGCGGAGUACCUGCGGAAGGAUCAUUACAUGAUUUGAGGGGGCUCACGUCCCCUCAUCCAACCCACAAACCCCGAGGAACUUUUAUGUCGAGUGGUUCGGCGCUCUCUUUGAGAGCCGCCCCUCAAACGCAUCGCAGGCUUUUCGUGAAGGUCUGAUGUGUCACAUCGUGAGUAUUAAAACUUUCAACAACGGAUCUCU
This 212-nucleotide unclassified non-coding RNA is filed under the name soil metagenome. Its description in RNAcentral is "partial contains 5.8S ribosomal RNA, internal transcribed spacer 2, and large subunit ribosomal RNA". The record is from RNAcentral.